This 503-nucleotide ribosomal RNA is filed under the name uncultured bacterium. Its description in RNAcentral is "partial 16S ribosomal RNA". It matches the Rfam family "Bacterial small subunit ribosomal RNA", at positions 30 to 523 of the family's 1533-position model. The record is from RNAcentral.
AUUGAACGCUGGCGGCAGGCUUAACACAUGCAAGUCGAGCGGGGUGAUGGUGCUUGCACUAUCACUUAGCGGCGGACGGGUGAGUAAUGCUUAGGAAUCUGCCUAUUAGUGGGGGACAACAUCUCGCAAGGGAUGCUAAUACCGCACACGUCCUACGGGAGAAAGCAGGGGAUCACUUGUGACCUUGCGCUAAUAGAUGAGCCUAAGUCGGAUUAACUAGUUGGUGGGGUAAAGGCCUACCAAGGCGACGAUCUGUAGCGGGUCUGAGAGGAUGAUCCGCCACACUGGGACUGAUACACGGCCCAGACGCCUACGGGAGGCAGCAGUGGGGAAUAUUGGACAAUGGGGGGAACCCUGAUCCAGCCAUGCCGCGUGUGUGAAGAAGGCCUUAUGGUUGUAAAGCACUUUAAGCGAGGAGGAGGCUCUUUUGGUUAAUACCCAAGAUGAGUGGACGUUACUCGCAGAAUAAGCACCGGCUAACUCUGUGCCAGCCGCCGCGGUAA